AGGGUUCGAUCAUGGCUCAGGAUGAACGCUGGCGGCAUGCCUAAGACAUGCAAGUCGUACGAGAAGGCCCAUUGAAGUUUGAGUGCUUGCACAAUUUCUGAUUUGGAUUUUCCUUCUAGUGGCGGACGGGUGAGUAACACGUGGGUGACCUACCUUUGAGUUUGGGAUAACUACUGGAAACGGUAGCUAAUACCGAAUAACAUACAGUUUCGUUUCUGUAUUAAAAGGCGCUUUCAAGCGUCGCUCUUAGAUGGGCCUGCGGCGUAUUAGCUAGUUGGUGGGGUAAUGGCCUACCAAGGCAACGAUGCGUAGCCGGACUGAGAGGUUGAUCGGCCACAUUGGGACUGAGACACGGCCCAA
Molecule: ribosomal RNA, 360 nt
Filed under: uncultured bacterium
Lineage: Bacteria
Description: bacterial SSU rRNA
Rfam family: Bacterial small subunit ribosomal RNA
Source: RNAcentral